GACCGCAGAACUCAAAGAGUGAGAUUCGCAUCAAACUACCACACUAGCUAGCACGUCUAGUACGUUCCAGCACUCCGCAUUAGUCUCGCACAGGAUGCACCUUGGUCUGCCGGGCCAAUGGGUAUGCGGGGCUGGCGAGGAGGAUCUAGAGGAUUAGCUGACUGUCAACCACGCGAGCUGGGAUGGGCGAGGGUGGCGGAUGAGAAUCAGAGCGGGGAAAGAUGAAGUAGUCUGCUUCAACGGUGGUUUUCAUGGGAUUCCUCUCGAGAAUGAGUUCUAAAAGCGUUUUCCUCCCUGUUUCUUCCCGUCAUUCAACAACCAAUCCCC
This 327-nucleotide small RNA is filed under the name Histoplasma ohiense. Its description in RNAcentral is "hypothetical lncRNA". The record is from RNAcentral. Lineage: Eukaryota; Fungi; Ascomycota; Eurotiomycetes; Onygenales; Ajellomycetaceae.